CUAACCAUACUCUAGUUUUAGAGUUCUAUGCUAAUGCUUUACAAACCAACUUUGGAGAGGCCGAACUAAUACCGUCCGAGGCAAAAUGGAGCUAAAAGAGAGAAUUAGUGAUUGGCAGCACGUUACUCUCCACAAAAACUGUCAAAAGACAUGCGAACUCAGAAGCUUGGUCGACAAAAGACCACCAUCAUGGUCAAAUCAAGAUGCAAAUGUGGAGAAACAGUCAACAAAUAUCUGCGAACACGGAACCUCAUCCGUUAACAUAGAGUACAACAUGAUCCUGAUCCACUAACGCGGACAUACAUUCGCGAACACGGAGAAGAAAACCUGUCAGGCGCCAGGGACAAAUCUGGAACUUCAUAAUUAAAUGCAAAUUCACACUAUACAAUCAUACACAACCAUUUUUGUAGGAUAACACUGAGGGGGGGCUGAAUACACCUUGAAGAGAACUCCAUAGCUUGGUCUUAGGUUUUCAUAGCAAGUUUUCUACAAUUUUCUAUUGGAUUGGAGAUUGAAAUCUUAAUUGUAACUAUUUUUAUCCUUUCUUCAUUUCUUUGCUUUGUAUUGAAUGAAUUUUAGGUGUAAUUAUGACAAAAGAAUUGGGGUUUUGUUUUGGUAGAAAUAGACAAUUUAUUGGGCUGUA
Molecule: long non-coding RNA, 643 nt
Organism: Solanum dulcamara
Lineage: Eukaryota; Viridiplantae; Streptophyta; Magnoliopsida; Solanales; Solanaceae
Exons: 2
Source: RefSeq, a predicted model, not a curated record